UCGGGAAUUUUGGGCAAUGGGCGAAAGCCUGACCCAGCAACGCCGCGUGAGGGAUGAAGUAUUUCGGUAUGUAAACCUCGAAAGAAUGGGAAGAAUAAAUGACGGUACCAUUUAUAAGCUCCGGCUAACUACGUGCCAGCAGCCGCGGUAAUACGUAGGGAGCAAGCGUUGUUCGGAUUUACUGGGCGUAAAGGGCGCGUAGGCGGCGCGGUAAGUCACUUGUGAAAUCUCUGAGCUUAACUCAGAACGGCCAAGUGAUACUGCUGUGCUUGAGUGCGGAAGAGGCAACCGGAAUUCUUGGUGUAGCGGUGAAAUGCGUAGAUAUCAAGAGGAACACCUGAGGCGAAGGCGGGUUGCUGGGCCGACACUGACGCUGAUGCGCGAAAGCCAGGGGAGCAAACG
RNAcentral lists this ribosomal RNA (402 nucleotides) under uncultured bacterium. Its description in RNAcentral is "bacterial SSU rRNA". It matches the Rfam family "Bacterial small subunit ribosomal RNA", at positions 355 to 774 of the family's 1533-position model. The record is from RNAcentral.